UGUUUUGUUGAUUGUACAGCGGUGGCAAGAUCCUUUCUUCAGGUGGCAGCGACAGAAGAGGUUGCUUCCCCUCUCAGAGUUGUUCAGAUCGAGGGAUUGGUUAUUUUAAAGAUAAUCAAACAUUGCAAGGAAUUUUCACCGGCUUUGGUCACAGGGCAGCUUCUGGGAUUAGAUGUUGGCAGCGUUCUU
This is a non-coding RNA of Prunus avium (sweet cherry), 189 nucleotides long. NCBI's taxonomy places the organism in Eukaryota, Viridiplantae, Streptophyta, Magnoliopsida, Rosales, Rosaceae. The record is from RefSeq and is a predicted model, not a curated record.